UUUUUUUUUAAAGAUUAAAGAUUAUUGUCGGGUAGAGGAGAGGUAGCGGGCUCGGUGUGGCCCAGUGAUAGACAGCACCUGCCUAACAAGUGGGAAAGUCUUGAGUUUGAUGCCAAGUGGUCUUGAAAAGUGCCUAACGCUCACCCCUCAACACCCUCAGGCUUUCUGAAGCCAUUCAAUGUUUUAACACAGAGAACACAAAACACAAGUUUAUUCCAUACCCAAACAAUGUGGCAAUUUCCAUACCUUUGUUACUUACAGUUACCUAGUUCUCAGCUUUUCCAUAAAUUAAGAUUAACCCUGCUCCACUCCUGUGAUGAAAGGGAACACAAAGAGCACCUCCACAAGGACUCGGAAAAACGACCGGAUUCGCCAGGGGGAUCCCUGGGGCUUGCCCAUCAUGCUUUCAUAGCCUGAGUGAACCAUAUAACUAUUUUCCAUGCGGACAAAGGCCGAAAUGACUUCAAUCUUGCUACUAAAUACCAGAAUCCAGGGCAGGUGAACGCUCAAGGCUAAAUUUGCCAGAUAAAAUACAGGACGUCCCGUUAAAUUUGAAUUUCAGAUAAUAUUGUAGAAAAGUGUCCCACAUAGUAUUUGGAAUAUUCUUAUACUAAAAGUUAUUAGUAAUUUAUCUGAGAUUCAAUUUCACUGGACAUCCUGCAUCUUUACUUGUCAAAUCCUCCAAUUCUACUCAGGAUAACAGCAUCGUAAUCCCAGGAAGUUCUAGUAAAAAAUACAAAAAAAAAAAAAAAAACAGAACGAUCAGCGUUGACUCCUCCCCGGCACCAGGUGGGACUGCCAAUUCCGGUUUUCGCUGCCCGCAUUUGACUCGGAAGUGACGUCAUCCCGAAGUCGCGGUCCGGAGCCUUCACAAGGGAAAUACCUACUGUGUAUGCCAGGUAGUGACGCGAAGAAUAAGGGCCAGCUACUGUAGACCUGCCCUCAACUACACUCGGGAUUGCCUCGGAAGGUCAUGUAUGCUCCGGCCGCAAGGACUUACCAUUCCACAGCUACGGGCCCAGCUUCCAGCGCUGGCGACCGGAAGUACUCGCGGGUGGGCAGAACGGAGUCCGGAAGUGGGAAUGAGGGACGUGUAUUUGAUGACACUCAGACCACAGCGAUCAAGUCUGGAACCCACAGAGUCUUCUCCUGGUGUGAAGUUGAAGGCUGGUUGAGAAGACUGUCAUAAAGGGACAUCACCAUUCUCACCAGAGUCAAGAGGCUACUGUAGAGUUUGAGAGUGGUGAGGAUGAUGCAGAGGAUUAGGCAGAUGAUGAGAAGAGUUGGGAUGCCAGUCCAGGUCCUCAUCAGGCUCUCUGGCAUGUGUGCAUCAGUAUCAGCUAGCUCAAAUGUCUAUUCAUUUGCUCCAUUAUUUAUACUAAAUUUUGGGGCUUCUGCACACCUUUGUGUCCCUAUCAGCUGUUACCAGGUUUCUUAGUGACAUCUUACAUCUUAGAGUCAGGACAUGUAGUCUGGUGAUUUCUGCCCUGAUAUUACCCUUCUAACUCUUAUCAGGGUUAAAUAUUUAUUUUUUAGUUGUAGUUAAACACAAUGCCUUUAUUUUAUUUAUAUGUGGGGCUAAGGAUCAACCCCAGGGCCUUGCACAUGCCAGGCAAGCUCUGUACUGCUGAGCCACAACCCCAGCCCCAUCUACCUUCCUAUUCUUAAAGGGCCAUUCAGUGACUUUUAGGUUUGGGCAGCUAUAGGGUCUUUUAAAAAAAAAAAACUUAAAACACACAUUUACAUGAACUGUUUUACAGCUUGCCCUGUUUUGUUUUGUUUUAGUCAUAUAUGAAGACAUAGGGUCUUUUUUGCACUUCUUAGCUCUGCAAAAGCAGCCCCAGAAAAUGAUAAGAGUAUGGUUACUGUUACCACAAAACAAUCUGCCUCUUAUGGACCCACUUUCGUGGUGGAAAAUGAGCCACUGGCCAAAGGAGGAGUCUAGGUUUAUAUUGGUUAUACUGAGAGGUGACUUAAUUAGUGAGUGUGUCAGCUUGGUCACUCAGGAAUUUGGGGUCUGUUUUACUAAUUAUUGAGUGUGUCAGUUAGAGCACUCAGGAAUUGGGAGUUUUUUAUUUUUACUGGGCAAGGUGGAGGGUCAGGGGUCUGUGACCAGCAUCUGGAAAGGAUUUAUUCUGGGAGCAAUCAAUGCUUAAGUCUCUUCGAAUUCUAGUUUUGAUGUCCUUCUCCCCAGGACUUGCUUUGUCACCAGGAAAGAAUGUACUGGGAAAGGAUCCAUGCUUUCAAUGUAUGACUUUCUUUUUCACUCCCUUUUUUCCAGGCCCCAAUAUUUGGGGGUUUUCAUUUUUCCAUAUCCAACAGUUACUUUACAACAUUAUUUUACUAUAAUUUUCAUGUCAUGAAAUAUUAUUUAACGUUUUUUGACUAUUUAAAAAUUUUUAACUUGUGAGACAAAAAAAAAAAAGGCACUAGGGCUGGGGUUGUGGCUCAGAGGAAGAGCACUCACCUAGCAUGUGUGAGGCCCUGGGUUUAAUCCUCAGAACCAUAUAAAAACAAAAUAAAGGUAUUGUGUCAACCUACAACUAAAAAAUAAAUGUUUAAAAGAAAAAAAAAAGGCAUUAGGCUGGAGUUGGCCUUUGGGCAGCCCACCCUUAGUUGAGAAACACAACCAAACUGGAGCCAGUCUAGGACAAAGUGGCAGGGGAAGCACUAUCUAGUACCCAUUAUAGAUUUAUGUAGGCCAUCUGAGAGCUGUUAUUGAUAUUAUGUUUCCUAUUUGUGUAUUAAAAUAAACAGCAAUUAGUAGUGGUAAAAAAAAAUUAAGUUUAUAUUUCAAAGUUCUGGAGGCUGGGAAAUCCAGGAUUAAUGCACCAGCAGGAUCGAAGUCUCAUGAUAGCCUUCUCUUGGCUUCCAAGGUGGCAACUUGUCUCAUCUUCCAGAGAGGACAAACUGUGACCUCACAUGGUAGAAGGUGGAAGGACAAAACUGGGCAUGGUGGUGCAUACCUAUGAAAGGGUAAAGUUUUUAAGCUGCAAAGUCUGAGUUAAAAUGUAAAAGACUGGGCAUUGUAAAGUUUCUAAGCUGCAAGGCCUGAGUUAAAAAGUGAAGGACCAGGUAUUGUUAAGUUCCUCUGCUACACCCAGAACCUGAAAUUCCUGAGGCAGUUAAGACAACGCCCUACUGGCCAUUUAGUUGAUUAAUAGCCUAGGGCCCUGUGCAGCUUGUCACGUAAGCAUACAGGGCCCGAACCAAUCAGUUUGAAUGUGUACACCCCCACCCCCACCCACCCCCUUAGCAGUGACCAAUCACCCCCGCCCAACCUGUUCCCACCAAUGAAUGUACUAAUCAAGUUUAAGAAUUGUUGUUUGAUUUUCCCACGCCUCAUGAUGAUUUGUCCUGAUGUAUACAAAGCCUCCAUCCUCCCCAAAAAGUGUACUUAAGCACUGCUCGACCCCUCCCCGGGGCUCUGGGCUGCUCUCCCUUCUUGAGUGAGCCUGGAGCCUCAGUGCACUGAAUUGGAUCCUCAAUAAAUCCCCUUCUGCAAUUGCAUGAG
Ictidomys tridecemlineatus (thirteen-lined ground squirrel) is the source of this 3514-nucleotide long non-coding RNA. NCBI's taxonomy places the organism in Eukaryota, Metazoa, Chordata, Mammalia, Rodentia, Sciuridae. The record is from Ensembl.